Molecule: ribosomal RNA, 1204 nt
Filed under: Halomonas sp.
Lineage: Bacteria; Pseudomonadati; Pseudomonadota; Gammaproteobacteria; Oceanospirillales; Halomonadaceae
Description: bacterial SSU rRNA
Rfam family: Bacterial small subunit ribosomal RNA
Source: RNAcentral
UAACCUGGGGAAACCCAGGCUAAAACCGCAUACGUCCUACGGGAGAAAGGGGGCUUCGGCUCCCGCUAUUGGAUGAGCCUAUGUCGGAUUAGCUAGUUGGUGAGGUAAAGGCUCACCAAGGCAACGAUCCGUAGCUGGUCUGAGAGGAUGAUCAGCCACAUCGGGACUGAGACACGGCCCGAACUCAUACGGGAGGCAGCAGUGGGGAAUAUUGGACAAUGGGGGCAACCCUGAUCCAGCCAUGCCGCGUAUGUGAAGAAGGCCUUCGGGUUGUAAAGCACUUUCAGCGAGGAAGAACGCCUAGUGGUUAAUACCCAUUAGGAAAGACAUCACUCGCAGAAGAAGCACCGGCUAACUCCGUGCCAGCAGCCGCGGUAAUACGGAGGGUGCAAGCGUUAAUCGGAAUUACUGGGCGUAAAGCGCGCGUAGGUGGCUUGAUAAGCCGGUUGUGAAAGCCCCGGGCUCAACCUGGGAACGGCAUCCGGAACUGUCAAGCUAGAGUGCAGGAGAGGAAGGUAGAAUUCCCGGUGUAGCGGUGAAAUGCGUAGAGAUCGGGAGGAAUACCAGUGGCGAAGGCGGCCUUCUGGACUGACACUGACACUGAGGUGCGAAAGCGUGGGUAGCAAACAGGAUUAGAUACCCUGGUAGUCCACGCCGUAAACGAUGUCGACCAGCCGUUGGGUGCCUAGCGCACUUUGUGGCGAAGUUAACGCGAUAAGUCGACCGCCUGGGGAGUACGGCCGCAAGGUUAAAACUCAAAUGAAUUGACGGGGGCCCGCACAAGCGGUGGAGCAUGUGGUUUAAUUCGAUGCAACGCGAAGAACCUUACCUACUCUUGACAUCCUGCGAACUUGUGAGAGAUCACUUGGUGCCUUCGGGAACGCAGAGACAGGUGCUGCAUGGCUGUCGUCAGCUCGUGUUGUGAAAUGUUGGGUUAAGUCCCGUAACGAGCGCAACCCUUGUCCUUAUUUGCCAGCACGUAAUGGUGGGAACUCUAAGGAGACUGCCGGUGACAAACCGGAGGAAGGUGGGGACGACGUCAAGUCAUCAUGGCCCUUACGAGUAGGGCUACACACGUGCUACAAUGGCCGGUACAAAGGGUUGCCAACUCGCGAGAGUGAGCUAAUCCCGAAAAGCCGGUCUCAGUCCGGAUCGGAGUCUGCAACUCGACUCCGUGAAGUCGGAAUCGCUAGUAAUCGUGAAU